GAUAAAGAAGUCGCACCUGACUAUAAGUCACAGGACCAGCCAAACUAUGAAAAAAAAGUGCGACUUAUAGUCCGGAAAAUACGGUAAUUCAUUAUGAGCUCUGUUUUAGGUGAUAACGAGCCAGUUUGCUACAGUAUGUGUCAUCUACUUAGGCAGCUACCUUCAUAUUUGUAUAUAUUUAAAGCCUGUUAUGUAUCUCUUAGACCCUACAUUGCAUCGUAGUAAUAGUAUAGAAGAAUAGUGCAUAGUUCAGUCCCUCCAGAAAAACGCAGAUUUUUUUUUGUGAUUGUUGCGGGCAAAAAUCCUUGAAGUUUUUUGCAACGAAAAUACAGGUAUUAUGAAAUCAUGCUAGCCCCGCAAAUUUUACUUUCUGAAAUCGGUAAUUUAUGCGGCAAAAGAGCGUCAUAUUUGAAAAAAUGUGAGCCUUUGGCUGAUUAUGCAUUAAAUCAAGCGAUCGCAUAAUCACGUUUUCUGGAGGGACUGAUAGUUUUAAAAACGACUCGUUUUAAUGAUUCAGAGUCGAUUCUUUCUUUUGAGAGACAAUAACUUUAUACAGGGUGCACUUUCAGAUUUAAGACUCAGAGUAUUUUCAUUCGCUUAGAGCUGUGUUACACACUGCAUGUAAGGUCAUUUUGAAAAAUCCAUAUUAGGGACUGAAGGAGUGGAUGCCGAUUUGCCAUAUCCUUCAUACUGAUAUUAAUUAUUUUAUUACAUGAUUUCUUGUUUGACUAUUAAUCAAGUUAUAGCAAGAGUGAAAUGUGUAACCUUAUGUGUGCUGUAUUUCUUUUCCUCAAGAUUAAUGUCCACAUAUUAUGUGUGCGUAUCAAACCGUAAUGAUAAGACACUCGCCAGUGCUAGAAAGCCUUGAAUUUUAGAUAAGUUCUCUGUGUAUGUGUGUUAGUAUCUGUCUGUACAGGGAGAAGCUCAGACAGUCCCAGGACAAACGAUCAACUGCCAGUGUCCAGCAUAUCAGAUAUACGUCUUUGGAGAGUUUUAUCUAGGUUUUGGAACCAAUCAGAAUUUUGUUGACUCAUGUAUUGACGCAAUUAGUAUCCUCUGUCAGGGUAUAACUGUGGUUGAUUUUGUAUUGUACUGGGGGCGGCCUGCGAACUCCUUCGAGAGUGUUGAAGCUGACUUCUGCUGAUGAAAUUGCAAACUAUUUUCUUCAAGUAAAAUUAUUAUUAUUAACUGAACUCAUCUCUGAGUCCUGGUCUUCAUUGCGACAUAUCUGGUCCUUGGGUUUUAACUGUAAAUUCCCCAACAGUUAAUGGUGGAGGAUCGGCGGGCAAUAGUUCUUUGGUGACAUCCCUGAUCAAUCAUCAAACCAAGGUAGGAAAGAUUUUAGAUUUAAUAUUAUUGGUUAGGGACUGUCUGUAAGUGGAGGGGGUCAAGAGAAGGAGGAACGAUAGACUCACUCAGACGUGAGGGGUAGACACCAGCUCCAGGGUGGAGUAAGGUAAAUUGGUGUCACAAUAUACCUGUAAAUAAGUAACCUUGUGAGUAUAAGGGGUACAAGUACACAUCGGUAGGUCUUGAUAUAAGAUAUUUAGAGAUGUGUACAGUUACAGAGGGAACAGGUGCACACCUAUAGGUCUUAGAGAGAGACGUAAAAAUUUUCUAGGUGUGCACAGUCCAGGGGGGGACAAAAACGCAUUCUUAACAGGCAUGUGAACCCGUAAAGGGCAGUGCUGGGUCAAGCACUGAGGGACAAGGGACACAUAGAGCCGUAAAUAGGCAGUGCUGGGUCAAGCACAGAAAGCCGAAAAGCACGAGAGGCCAUAAAGGGCAGUGCAUUUACGGCCAGGGAAGCCAAAGUAGGGGUAUGGGAAAUCCCGAGAAGAAUGUAAGACGCUAGACGGGGGUUCUAGUCGUAUCUCGCUCUUCCAACUCUCGAUCACCCACCAUUACAGACGGGGGCGCCCCGAGCUUAGAAAUAGGCCAGGUCAGUGGUUAGGGAAAAGAGUAUCCAAAAUUAGUGUUUAAAAAUAAAUAGUGAUAAUUCAUAUGUGCACCUAUAAAAAAUAUAGGGAUAUAUGCAAAGGGAAAGUAUUGAUUGAUCUGGGAUGCCUCAGGAACAACCCCAAAAGAGCUAAAAUGUAGUUUUCAUGACCCUGAUUGGAUUGGACCAGUAUAUGGAAAUUCUGGAAUAUACUUUGCAAUUUCAUCACGCAGAAGUCAAGUGCUGUUGGUAAGAUCGCCGCCUCAAUAUGUUUUUGGUUUAUGAUAGAAAUAUGACUGACAAAUUAGGUAACCUGGUCAGCCCUGAUAGAAAUAAUGAAACAGAAGAGAGCAAAUGCUGUAAACAGUUUGGCUCUGAAGCUCUGACUUUAAAAAAAUAUAUAUAUUCUCUGAAUUCAUUUAAAGAAUGAUCAGUCUGAGCUUUAAUUCUGAUUGUAAUGUUAAAACAAAAACUUGAUUGGCUUUAAACUUAGAAAGAACCUGAGAAAUAAACAUUUAUAAAUGUAUGUGCCGAUUUGUUAAAAAUAAUCCCAGAAGUAACUGAGUGAUGAUUUAAUCUGAUUCUCUGUGCAUAGAAGGUUUAAAUGACAAAGAAUGAUAUCAUAAGACCUGUUCCAGUUCCUAUAUAAUUGUUGAAAGUCCUGACAAGGAAUACUGAACAGAAUUCUGGGUUAGUGAAAAAAAAAACUGUAGGCACACAAAUUGGCAGUGGCAUUUUGGAAAAACUUAGAAGCUUAUGUUUUGUUAAAAAAGAUAAAAUUACUUUGACUACAAUGAAGCCGUUGUUUUAUCUCAUGCUGGCCCCCACCAUGACUCUGGCUUAAGCUUUGAAAGUACCAGAGACAUGUUCUGAGUAAAAAAAAAAAAAAAAAAAAAAUGUAAUUCCUAUAUUUACUAAUGUUUGGCCAAAAGAGUAAUUUUAUUGUUGGAUUGCAAAAUUGUAGUCACGCAGCAUCAUAAAAAAAGAAAAAAAGAAGAGAAAAGAAAAUUAUUUUUUUGUUUAUGAGAUGAUAAAGUUGUAAACAAGUAACAUAAACGGGGGUUUCAAAGUAACUUUGAAGACAGCAUGCUAGCAAGACCCGAAGUAAUAUACCUGGGUCAGAUAACCUCUGACAGAUUUAAAACCAAUGUUGAAAUUCAGAAGCCAUGGCCAGAAUUAAGUUAAUUAAUAAAUACAAGUUGAUGUAAAAGUAAUGACAAUGACUGCAAAGAACUUUGAGAAACAUUUGAGUUGUGAAAAUAAAGUAAAAAUACAAAUAUAAAGAUGUUUAUUUUUAAAAUGCAUAUAAUUUCUGACAAGUUUUAAACUGGGCUAGAGUAAAAUGAUAGUACGAUGAAAUUAUGUUAAAAAUGAAUGAAAAUGCAUUGUUACGAGUCCUGAAUCCCUCAGAGUUCUCUCUCUCUCUCAUUCAAAGUAAGCUAAAAUGCCGUUAUCUGAGCCUGUGUUUAAGUGAUAAGAUAUUUAUAGUACAGCACAGUGUUUCAGUCAAAUCAUAGGCACUGAGAUGCUAAAGGACAUGAUAAAAGAGUUCAGAUUUAAUGCAUUAAGAGGGCAAUUGGUAGUUAAAUGUUCAACUGCCCAAUGCAUGUAAGAAAUAAGAGAUUAUAAAAAUAAUGAAUAACAAUUUAGGAGCAAUUGUUGAAGAGACAUGAGGGCUUUAAAAUCAUAAUACAGACCCUGAGCUAUAGAUGUAAUAAUUUUGAAUAGCUAAACAGUUAUAUUGCUAUUUGUUCUAUGACCAGUAACUUAUCUGUCUUAUUUUUAGUCUCCACCAUCAUACAGGGCCUGAUGGCUGCAGCUACAGAAGCAACAGAAAAUUACAAUGAAUGGACGGGUGUGAAAAAUAAAUUCACUGAGUAAUCUCAGCAUGAUAGUUUGGAGGUAUCCAAUUGAGUUUAGCGAUUAAAUAUUAGUUUGAUUAACCUUUUUCAAUGUUUUAACACUAGUAGGUGCUGUCAAUGGCUCUCAUGGUUCUUGAGUGCACCUUUCCUUAAGCUGCAGGAAAUACUGGAUUCUGGAAGAAGACUGUCGAGGAUGUUGCAACGGGAAAGAGUGGUUACCAGUGUGCAUGAGGUGAUUUCUCAAUGACGGGUAAGAUCCUCUUCUGGCCAAUAGGGGACAACCUAAGGCAGGGGGUCACCGCCACUGGGCACCUGCCCUGAAGGGAGGUGUUAUAUGUGAGAUGGUAGUGGAGUUGAGCGGAUGCUUGAUAGGCCUAGAGCAUCAUUAAGAGGGGAACUGUAUGAAGUACAGCAAUCUGCCUCAAAAUGUGAGCUCCUCCAGACCUGAUCACCAGCAACCGCAUUCCUUGACUGAUUGUUGUGACAAGCGUCCACAACUUGAUGCAACUAUGCCAGUGGAUCACACCCUGAGGACAAGGAGCUUAUUUAUAAAAAGUUAAUGGCAAUGGGCUUUCAAGAACCAUCUGAGACCAUGUGAUGACAGCCAUUAUUUUGAGACAAAAAUUUCUUAUGAGGCUAAAAUGAUAUUGAACUAAUAUGUCUAUAUCAUAGUCUUUACUCAUGCAGGUCAUUAGGAAUGACACAAGAUGAUAACAAGAUAUGGUGGUGGCUAAAAAUGAAGACUGCUUCUGCUUUCCUAGCAUUAUGUAUUUUAAACAGUUUAAACUGAGAUUUUAGAUCUAGAAACUUUGACAUUUUUAACUUAUUUGAAUAAUUUAGGGUUAUAUGUUGUAAUGAAUUUUAUAUUAUAGUCUAAGUUAAAGUUUGGCAAAAAUUGUCUAAAUAAAUAAAUAAAUAAUUUUUUGCACAGUAAGAGAGAGAGAGAGAGAGUGCUUGAGUGGAGGCAGGGAUAGUGCUCUUCUUCUAUUAUUGGCCUGCUAAGAAAGAGUAACCAAAACAGAGCAAUAAUUUUAAGACCAAAACAACCCAGCUGAUUUUACUCUAAAUAAAAAUCAUUAAAGAACAGGCAAACUUUGAGAUUAGAUAAGAGACUAGGUUCAAACUAGGUAAAAUGCACAGACAAUGUUUAAGUUUAAAUCCUUCCGAUUUAAUACCAAAAGGAAAACCUUAAAUAUGAGCUGUUAAAAUAUUAAUGUGUUAAGUAUGUGCAUGCAUGAGGAUGGCUAUAUAUAUAUUAUUGGGGGACAAUUCUGUUCCUGUUUUGUUUCAAUUGAGUCACUAACCUCUGGAAUGAGUGUUUUAUCAUUACAGAUGUGUUAAGUGAAAUUACUUUACAGAAGUCGAUAAUUCUGAGUGAAACUAAUGAAAAGACAAUGCCAAACAUGGGACGAGCUUUAAGUGGAUUGGUUAUCCAGCUCUGUCUGCUACUGGUAAUAAUGACUUGUUUUGUCUUUUAUAAUGCUGAUUUAAAUCACUCUCUGGAUUAAUAUGUUAAAGAGUGUUUAUAUGAUUGGAUUUGUGAAAUUUAAGUUUGCCGUCCAAAAUGGGUUUAAAAUCCAUGCCUAAAUUUAAAUGAGGGUCUAAAUUUUAACAAGUUAACACUUUGUUGUUUGAAUGGUGAAGGUAAAUAUUUUAGACUUGACGGCAGAAAAACAGUGACAGAUUGGCUACGUCACUAACCAAAUUAUCCAGAGAGCACCCUCACAUAAAGAAGCCUGGUGGGAAAACAAAGGAGUGAAUCCUGCUUGUGUAAUAUAGUGCAAAUCUUUAUGUAGUGGUUUAUGUAGAACAGAGAUAAGUUGAACAAAAACGUGUGGAUAGCCCCUUAAUGGAGCAAAUCCAUAACAAGAGGUUUGAAUUAAUUGAAAUAGCACAGCAAAAAAAAAAUUAUAAUAAUAAUAAAUUUAGUUUGAACAAAACAAUUGUAAUAGGCUCUAUGGAGCUGCUUAUGAACACCUGUCAGGGCUUUUUGAUAAUGUAUACUGUUUCAAUACAGAUUUACAGAAACUGAGGAUGUCUCUUUAAUAAAUAUUUGGGCGUUUAGAACUAAGUAAUAGUAUUGUUCAUUUAGUAAUAGUAUUGGGAAAUCUGUGUGCUCUUUUUCAGUUUAUAAUAAUUUUGAGUAAAUAAAUAUCACUGCCAAAUGACAAACAUGAACAAGGGUUUUAAAGACAUUGAUCACGUAGCUGAUGUGUAAGCAUUUCUAACUGACAAAACAGUGAGAACUAAAUUGACUUAAUACGAGGUAUUGAGGAUUUGCUUCUGAAUGUGUCAUUAAUAUAGUCUGAGUACAGUAAUAUGGUAUGAUAAUUGACAAGACUUACAUUUAAAAAAAAAAAAAAAAAAAAAAAAAAAAAAAAAGGGUAAUAAUAAGGCAAUGAGUAUGGUUAACAGUAAUGUCCUGGUAUAAAAUACAUGCAUGACAAUAAGUGGAUAGGUUAGUUGUAUUUUUGAAGUUAGACACUUAGACACAUACUUAAAAUGUAAUUUUGAUCAAAUGUUGUUAACAAUGACAAGUUUGGGUUAAUGGUUAAUGUAUGUGUAAGCAGCAUGUGAACUAUGAUGACUGCAAAUGGAUUCGUGGUGAAAGUAAAACUUAAUAAAAGGGCUAUUAAGUAAUAAACUAGGAACUGCUCUAAGUUUUCGAGGAAAUAAUGAUUAUGAUUAUGAUUAUUUUUAUUUUUUUAAGAUGGCUCAAUAUUGAUCUUACUUAUUUUUGGUUUGUUUAUUUUUGUGUUUUUUUUUUAACACCAAGUUUGGAGUGAAAGGGUAAAAUGGAUAUUCAAUCACUCUAAUUGCACCAUUGAUUGGGAAAAUUAUAGAUUUUCAUAAAAUAAGGGUAUCUUUACUGGGAUUUAGGUUAUAAGCAAUGUCUGUAUUUGGUAUCUGUGAGGUGACUGAGGGUCUGACAUAUGUCAGGAAUGCAAUAACAGUGGUUAUUCAUUUAGCCCGGCUUCCAGAGAAUAAUAUACGUUUAUUGUAAUGAGUUUAUUUUAAGAUAUGACCAAAUUAACUAAAAUUCAUCAUAGUUGAAUAAAACAUGCUAAAAGAAAACAAAUAAGGCAAACAUCCUUCUUAAGGGUUAAAAAAAAGAAAAAAAGAAUUUGGUUAAAGUGUAUGCGGUUUUCUUUAAUGAUUUGUUAAAUCUGGUUAAUGAAUAUGCAAAUUUAGUCUUAAGGCUGUUGGAUAAAUGUUUUGUUUUAGAGGGUAAGUGUGAAGUAGCUGUAGUAGGAAGAGAGGUAUUUACAAAGAUAUGUUGAUGAAAGUAUAUAUGGAUGGAGGACACUUUUCCAGGUAGAGGGACACACAGAAUAAUUCACUGGAAAAGACAUUAUGUGAAGAAAGACUAGUGCAAGUGGCGAUAUUGUGGGAUUAAGUAAGUAGAUGAAUGUAUAUGGGAAGUAAGAAUGAUUAUGGGAAGUAUUUUGUACAAAAUAAAGUGUUUAUUACUAGAAAUGUCAGCCAGUACCAGAGAUCUUAAGUAUAUGCACAUGUUUAAGUUGACCAACAGCCUGCAUUCUUAGCAUGCAUCACAACUACACCUGACCUCAUUUAUUAGACCAGAUGUGGGGUAUUAGACCCCACAUUGAUCUAAAACGGGGGACUGAAGGAGUGGAUGCCGAUUUGCCAUAUCCUUCAUACUGAUAUUAAUUAUUUUAUUACAUGAUUUCUUGUUUGACUAUUAAUCAAGUUAUAGCAAGAGUGAAAUGUGUAACCUUAUGUGUGCUGUAUUUCUUUUCCUCAAGAUUAAUGUCCACAUAUUAUGUGUGCGUAUCAAACCGUAAUGAUAAGACACUCGCCAGUGCUAGAAAGCCUUGAAUUUUAGAUAAGUUCUCUGUGUAUGUGUGUUAGUAUCUGUCUGUACAGGGAGAAGCUCAGACAGUCCCAGGACAAACGAUCAACUGCCAGUGUCCAGCAUAUCAGAUAUACGUCUUUGGAGAGUUUUAUCUAGGUUUUGGAACCAAUCAGAAUUUUGUUGACUCAUGUAUUGACGCAAUUAGUAUCCUCUGUCAGGGUAUAACUGUGGUUGAUUUUGUAUUGUACUGGGGGCGGCCUGCGAACUCCUUCGAGAGUGUUGAAGCUGACUUCUGCUGAUGAAAUUGCAAACUAUUUUCUUCAAGUAAAAUUAUUAUUAUUAACUGAA
Molecule: long non-coding RNA, 7966 nt
Organism: Carassius gibelio (silver crucian carp)
Lineage: Eukaryota; Metazoa; Chordata; Actinopteri; Cypriniformes; Cyprinidae
Exons: 2
Source: RefSeq, a predicted model, not a curated record